RNAcentral lists this ribosomal RNA (497 nucleotides) under uncultured bacterium. RNAcentral's name for it is "partial 16S ribosomal RNA". It matches the Rfam family "Bacterial small subunit ribosomal RNA", at positions 28 to 507 of the family's 1533-position model. The record is from RNAcentral.
GAUGAACGCUGGCGGCGUGCCUAAUACAUGCAAGUCGAGCGAACAGACGAGGAGCUUGCUCCUCUGACGUUAGCGGCGGACGGGUGAGUAACACGUGGAUAACCUACCUAUAAGACUGGGAUAACUUCGGGAAACCGGAGCUAUUACCGGAUCUUAUAUUGACCCGCAUGGUUCAUUGGUGAAAGCCGUUUUUGCGGUCCCUUUUGCAGGUAUCCGCGCCGCAUUAGCUAGUUGGUAAGGUAACGGCUUACCAAGGCAACGCUGCGUAGCCGACCUGAGAGGGUGAUCGGCCACACUGGAACUGAGACACGGUCCAGACUCCUACGGGAGGCAGCAGUAGGGAAUCUUCCGCAAUGGGCGAAAGCCUGACGGAGCAACGCCGCGUGAGUGAUGAAGGUCUUCGGAUCGUAAAACUCUGUUAUUAGGGAAGAACAAAUGUGUAAGUAACUAUGCACGUCUUGACGGUACCUAAUCAGAAAGCCACGGCUAACUACGUG